CGGGAGCGGCGCAAAAUAAAAAGCAGUCGACGAUGAACCACUUCGGGUGGGCUUUAGUGGCGAACGGGUGAUUUACACGUGCUGAAUCUGCCCUGCACUCUGGGAAAGGACCUGGAAACGGGGUCUAAUACCGGAUACUGAUCGCCUUGACCAUCCUUGGUGAUCUGAAGCUCCGGCGGUGCAGGAAGAGCCCUCGGCCUAUCAGCUUGUUGGUGAGGUCAUGGCUCCCCAAGGCGACUACGGAUAGCCCGCCUGAGAGGGCGACCGGCCACACUGGGACUGAGACACGGGCCAGACUCCUACGGGAGGCAGCCGUGGGGAAUAUUGCACAAUGGGCGAAAGCCUGAUGCACCGACGCCGCGUGAGGGAUGACGGCCUUCGGGUUGUAAACCUCUUUCGACAGGGAAGAAACCAAAGUGACGGUACCUGCAGAAAAAGCGCCGGCUAACUACAUGCCAUCAGCCGCGGUAAUACGUAAGGCGCGAGCGUUGUCCGGAAUUAUUGCGCGUAAAGAGCUCAUACGCGGCUUGUCACGUCUGUUGUGAAAGCUCGGGGCUUAACCCCGGGUCUGCAGUCCAUACGGGCAGGCUAGA
This 593-nucleotide ribosomal RNA is filed under the name Streptomyces sp. RNAcentral's name for it is "bacterial SSU rRNA". It matches the Rfam family "Bacterial small subunit ribosomal RNA", at positions 34 to 645 of the family's 1533-position model. Lineage: Bacteria; Bacillati; Actinomycetota; Actinomycetes; Kitasatosporales; Streptomycetaceae. The record is from RNAcentral.